This 71-nucleotide transfer RNA is filed under the name Mesocricetus auratus (golden hamster). It matches the Rfam family "tRNA". From Rfam's summary of the family: Transfer RNA (tRNA) molecules are approximately 80 nucleotides in length. The record is from Rfam by way of RNAcentral. Lineage: Eukaryota; Metazoa; Chordata; Mammalia; Rodentia; Cricetidae.
GGGUGUGUAGCUUAGCAGUGGAGCACAUGUUUAGCAAGCACGAAAGCCCUAGGUUCAAUCCUUAGCACCCA